Molecule: long non-coding RNA, 1366 nt
Filed under: Vulpes vulpes (red fox)
Lineage: Eukaryota; Metazoa; Chordata; Mammalia; Carnivora; Canidae
Description: lncRNA (ENSVVUG00000006272.1)
Source: RNAcentral
GCCAAACCCAACACUGAUCAAAUAAGGAAAUUUGUUUUAUAUAGGCUUUUGCAACAAGAGAAAAAUGUAAGAUCCAAAUAACAAAGAAUCUGAGCAGGGUAGUUUUGCUUUAUACUUUCAUAGAGAGGAUUAGAUUAUAACCGGAUAACUUAUAUUUUGGACUUCUUUGUGAUUUUUUUUUUGUCUCAGUCAAUCAGCUAGAUAGAAAGCAUUUAUCUGUGCACCUAGCUAGUUUCACAGGGAUAAAUAGUUCACCUAAUAUUUCACAUCAUGAGCUAAAAAAUGGAGUUGAUUCUCUGUAUCGGGCUUGUCAGUAUGUUCAGGUAAAAAUGAAAUGUAUUUGUGUGGCCAGGUCACAAAUAAGUCAUCCUUGCAUCUUAUAGAGGUCAUGAGGAGGAAUGGACAGCUAGUCUUACUGAAACCACAUGGGGCAGGUUGCUUUUGGUUGUCAUCCAUUUCCUAGAACACAGAUGGAGAAAUUUGCAGUUUUCCAGGACCUUCUAUCAUAGCCACUUGAAGUAUGACCAAGAAGAAAGUUCUACAUUUCAGCUCCCUUCAGAUUAAAGUCAUCCCUGUUCCCUCGUCCAGUGACAAACACUCAACAAUGAAGCCGAUAUAGCCAUUAUUGUACUUGUAAUGAAGCUGUGUUUCAAUACAGGGGAUACUCAGGUUCAAAAGGAGAUGUCAGAAGAACAAGAUGAUGGAGCAGUGGCAGGCAUGACCAGAGGCUGUGAUUAUGUCAACAACAAAAGCAAACUUGAAGAAGAAGAACAAAGCUUAGCAGUUAAAGAUGUCUCAGUACACGAGCAAGAGAAAUGCCUGGCAGGUGGGGAGCAGAGGGCAUGAGGUCCACAGUGGAAAUGAGAAAGAAAGGUGAGGAUAUCACCCUGAGGACCAGGAUAUGCUUCUUUCAGCAGGGGAAACGCACUGAGAAGCCAAGGGUCCUAAGGUGGGACGUGUGUGUGUGUGUGUGUGUGUGUGUGUGUGUGUGUAUUUAUAUAUAUGACCUCUUUGAAUAGUUUUCUCUUUCUGUUAUUCCUACGAAACCAUUGAGGUCAAGAAGUGUUUACAAGUUACACAGGAAUAGUAGCUGGAGCUGAGAGCUUAUGUCCAUAAAGUAAAGUAAUGAUUUCUACUCCAGUAAGCCAAGCACUUAUAUAAAAGCACCUUCAGGGGAUAUUUGUGUGUGUGUUUGUGUAUGUAUAUGUAUAUAUGUGUGUAUGUAUAAGUGGAUAUAUAUACAUGUAUAUAUACAUAUACACACACACACAUCCCUAUAUUAAGCUAUAUACUGAAGAACCAGCAGGAAUUGAUACUGUACUAUCUGGAACACUAAAAGAAUAAAAGACACAGCUAUUUGUGAGCA